Molecule: non-coding RNA, 29 nt
Filed under: Bombyx mori (domestic silkworm)
Lineage: Eukaryota; Metazoa; Arthropoda; Insecta; Lepidoptera; Bombycidae
Source: RNAcentral
UACAAAAUUCGUUCCGUUAUCGGAGCGUA